CACCGCUUCCUUGUCUCAGGAUAAGAACAACAGGCGAUGGUCUUCUCACUUUACCAUUUGGAAAAUGCCUGGGACUCAAGGCAUAGCAACCUCGCUGGGGAGAGGACGCACGUCGACUGCUGCCUACAGAGCCAGACUGGAUUUGCAUUACAAGGAAGAUCAUUCUUUAUGCUGAAGUAAAUGACACCAGAUGAGAACUCAGAUUUUCAGGAAGAAAGGAAGAGUGUAAGAAAUGGCAGAGAAGGAAGAACAGAGGCACCAAAGAGAUGGACAAUAAAAAUAAUAAAACAGACAAAAUGGUGCAACUAUGCUUAACCGUAUGAAUGGGGUGUUUCGAUAUGAAGACUGUGAUCAUCUCCAGAACAGGAGACAUUUGGAAGAGCUCGUGCCCACUGGUAUCUGAAACUUGGCUGCUCAAGACUCAGGCUAAGGAGCAGAGAUCUGGGAGAACAGGCCCUUUUCAUGGAAGGUGAGAAGUACAAGGGGAAGAACCAAACCACACAAUUGCUUUUAAAGCUUCUGCUCAGAUAUGCUGCACAUCACACUCCUCACGCUGUUGUGGGCAAAGGAAGCCACAGGCCAAGCCUGGUGGUGGAUCAGCUCCCCCGAGUCGCAUGGCCAUGGUCAAGUGUAUCUGCUGUUACUGAGAAAAGAGAGGGGUAAAUAGUUGUGACAGAUGGUACAAAUGUGCACACCUCGCCUGACACAACUCCAGUGGAACAGGCUGUCUGUUGCGCUGGAACCAAUAUGAGCUUUUGGAUUUUCGUCCUCUGUGCAUGAGAGAGAUUCCACUGGGCACCAAGCUUAACCACAGCCUCCAUCUGAGAUAUCUGGACUCACUG
Long non-coding RNA from Symphalangus syndactylus (siamang), 842 nucleotides. RefSeq lists it as uncharacterized. Lineage: Eukaryota; Metazoa; Chordata; Mammalia; Primates; Hylobatidae. The record is from RefSeq and is a predicted model, not a curated record.